Molecule: ribosomal RNA, 821 nt
Filed under: uncultured marine archaeon
Lineage: Archaea
Description: bacterial SSU rRNA
Rfam family: Archaeal small subunit ribosomal RNA
Source: RNAcentral
AGCCAUGCGAGUCAUUGUAGCAAUACAAGGCAGACGGCUCAGUAACGCGUAGUCAACCUACCCUAUGGACGGGAAUAACCUCGGGAAACUGAGAAUAAUGCCCGAUAGAACAUUAUGCCUGGAAUGGUUUAUGUUCCAAAUGAUUUAUCGCCGUAGGAUGGGACUGCGGCCUAUCAGUUUGUUGGUGAGGUAAUGGCCCACCAAGACUAUUACAGGUACGGGCUCUGAGAGGAGUGGCCCGGAGAUGGGUACUGAGACACGGACCCAGGCCCUAUGGGGCGCAGCAGGCGAGAAAACUUUGCAAUGUGCGAAAGCACGACAAGGUUAAUCCGAGUGGUUUCUGCUAAAGGAACCUUUUGUCGGUCCUAGAAACACCGAUGAAUAAGGGGUGGGCAAGUUCUGGUGUCAGCCGCCGCGGUAAAACCAGCACCUCAAGUUGUCAGGAUGAUUAUUGGGCCUAAAGCAUCCGUAGCCGGCUCUGUUAGUUUUCGGUUAAAUCUGUACGCUUAACGUACAGGCUGCCGGGAAUACUGCAGAGCUAGGGAGUGGGAGAGGUAGACGGUACUCGGUAGGAAGGGGUAAAAUCCUUUGAUCUAUUGAUGACCACCUGUGGCGAAGGCGGUCUACCAGAACACGUCCGACGGUGAGGGAUGAAAGCUGGGGGAGCAAACCGGAUUAGAUACCCGGGUAGUCCCAGCUGUAAACUAUGCAAACUCAGUGAUGCAUUGGCUUGUGGGCCAAUGCAGUGCUGCAGGGAAGCCGUUAAGUUUGCCGCCUGGGAAGUACGUACGCAAGUAUGAAACUUAAAGGAAUUGGCGGGG